Molecule: ribosomal RNA, 888 nt
Filed under: uncultured bacterium
Lineage: Bacteria
Description: bacterial SSU rRNA
Rfam family: Bacterial small subunit ribosomal RNA
Source: RNAcentral
AGCAGCCGCGGUAAUACGAAAGGGGCAAGCGUUAUUCGGUGUAAUUUGGUGUAAAGGGUUCGUAGGCUGUAAUAAGGUUGUUUAAAUUGAAAUUAAGAGACCUAAUCUCUUUUAAGGUAUUUAAAAACACUUUUACUUGGGUAUAAAAGAGGAUUAUAGAAUUUUAAAGGGAGAGGUAAAAUUUUAAGAUCUUUAAAGGAAUAUCAAAAGCGAAAGCAAUAAUCUGGUUUAUUUUUACCGACGCUGAGGAACGAAAGAAUAGGUAGCAAACAGGAUUAGAGACCCUGGUAGUCUAUUCUGUAAACUAUGAGUGCUCGUAUUUAGAAUAUAUAAUUUUAGAUACUAAGUUAACACGUUAAGCACUCCACCUGAGGAGUAUGAUCGCAAGAUUGGAACUCAAAGGAAUUGACGGGGGCCUAUACAAGUGGUGGAGCAUGCGGUUUAAUGCGAUAAUACGCGCGAAAUCUUACCAGUCUUUGAUUUUUUUUUAAGCUUCUUUAAUAUUGUUUAAAGAAUAUUAAAAAAAACAGGUGUUGCAUGGCUGUCGUCAGCUCGUGUUGUGAAAUGUUUGGUUAAGUCCUUUAACGAGCGCAACUCUUUUUUUUAGUUGCUACUUUCAUUUUGAAAGGCACUCUAAAAAUACUAUUUAUGAUGAGUAAAUGGAAGAAGAAUUACGUCAAGUCCUCAUGGCCCUUAUAGACUGGGCUACACACGUGCUACAAUGGUAACUACAAAACGCAGCGAGAAUGUGAAUUGGAGUAAAUCGUCUAAAAGUUAUCUUAGUUCGGAUUGUUAACUGUAACUCGUUAACAUGAAGUUGGAAUCACUAGUAAUCGUAAAUCAGCAUGUUACGGUGAAUUUGUACCUAGGCCUUGUACACACCGCCCG